RNAcentral lists this ribosomal RNA (253 nucleotides) under uncultured bacterium. RNAcentral describes it as "partial 16S ribosomal RNA". It matches the Rfam family "Bacterial small subunit ribosomal RNA", at positions 524 to 776 of the family's 1533-position model. The record is from RNAcentral.
UACGUAGGGGGCAAGCGUUGUCCGGAAUCAUUGGGCGUAAAGAGCGUGUAGGCGGCCUGAUAAGUCGGCUGUGAAAGUCAAGGGCUCAACCCUUGAAUGCCGGCCGAUACUGUCAGGCUAGAGUCCGGAAGAGGCGAGUGGAAUUCCUGGUGUAGCGGUGAAAUGCGCAGAUAUCAGGAGGAACACCGAUGGCGAAGGCAGCUCGCUGGGACGGGACUGACGCUGAGACGCGAAAGCGUGGGGAGCGAACAGG